RNAcentral lists this ribosomal RNA (495 nucleotides) under uncultured bacterium. RNAcentral's name for it is "bacterial SSU rRNA". It matches the Rfam family "Bacterial small subunit ribosomal RNA", at positions 30 to 518 of the family's 1533-position model. The record is from RNAcentral.
UGAACGCUAGCGGCAGGCUUAACACAUGCAAGUCGAGGGGCAUCGGGAGUAGCAAUACUGCCGGCGACCGGCGCAAGGGUGCGUAACGCGUGAGCAACAUGCCCGUAUCAGGGGGGAUAAUCCAUGGAAACGUGGUCUAAUACCCCAUAGUAAUUAUGUAAGGCAUCUUAUAUAAUUUAAAGCUUUGGUGGAUACGGAUUGGCUCGCGUGACAUUAGCUAGACGGUAAGGUAACGGCUUACCAUGGCUACGAUGUCUAGGGGUUCUGAGAGGAAGGUCCCCCCACACUGGAACUGAGACACGGUCCAGACUCCUACGGGAGGCAGCAGUGAGGAAUAUUGGACAAUGGAUGGAAAUCUGAUCCAGCCAUGCCGCGUGCAAGGAAGACGGCCCUAUGGGUUGUAAACUGCUUUUGUAUGGGAGCAAUAAGGGCUACGCGUAGUCCGAUGAGAGUACCAUACGAAUAAGCACCGGCUAACUCCGUGCCAGCCGCCGC